CUUCUCUAUCCGCGGCCGCUUUUGUUUCACGGCAAGGAAAUGCUAGGUUAACCCUUUUAUGAGUAGGAAGGACAGGGACUAUUGCUUGUCUUGGGAACGACUUGUGUCCCGGUCCUGAUACACUCCUUGUUCAUUAAUCUACAUGAGAUCGGCCAAGUCAUUGAGCCUCUCUUAUAACUCAGUUUCCAUAAAACAGAAAUGGUAAAGGUACCCCACUGAAAUGCUAAUGUUCAUUUGUAUAUUCUUUGCCUAACACGUAGAGAGAGUUCAAACAGUGGUUUUAAAAUAAACAACUAAAGUUAUCCAAUGAAAGGUAGCAGAGGAAGGAUGCUACAGGAGCUCAGAAAAGGCAACGAAGGCCAGAGUCUGCAGGGAUUUCCUGGAGGACGUGGAGCUUGUCCCUGCGUCUUUAACAAUAGGCAGAAUUUUAAUCUACUGGAGAAGCAUUUCAAGUAGCGGGAAAUGGAAUGAGCAGAGACAGAGGCAGAAAUACAGAGUUGAAAGAACUCUUUCAACGUGUCGCCAGUGAGUGACGACUUUCUCAGUGUGGGAGUAAAAGAAUUUACCAAGACAGUGGUAGAUAAAGAAAGACAGAUUAAAGAAAGUAUGAAAGUUCGUUGCCAGGGAGCAGCGGGCCGACUCAGCAGAGGAGGAGCUCAUUGCUAGGAAACAAAGGCUUGUUGAGAAUUUUAUAGACUGGAACUUGGAGUGAUUGAUAACACCAGGUAGCAGGGAGUUAACUUGCUUUUUUUUUUUCUUUCUUUCUUUUUUUUUUUUUUUUUUUGUCAGCUGAAGUGUUUCAGAAAUUGAGGCAUUUGAAGCAUGUACAAAAGGACAGAAAACAUAAACUCAUGCCUGGCAGAGAGCUUCUACUCUGAAGAAACAACAACCGAAGUGUCACAGGAUGAAUCUAUGCUAUUUGGAGAGGGAGUAUACAUUUAACUUGAAGCAAUCCCUGGAAGAAAAAUUCUACUAGCAGAGAUGCUCUGAGCAGAGAGAAAGCCUGUCUAUAUAGUGAAAGAAUGAAACCAAUACAUUGAAAAAAACUGAGAAGAGAAAGAGGUAGAGACUUCAUCUGAUACAAGCAUGCUUGAAACAAGAGACACCUGUAUGAUUCCAUCUUCCCAGGAGCUAGCAGGCAGUUCUUGUUGAGUUCAAGCCAGUUGAGACCAUCAACCCUUCAACUGAGCCUGCAUGGGUGCGUAAAGUGUGACCUUUUGAUGUCAAAGGGCCAAAACCUGCACCCUCCUUUCAUGCUAAUUCAACCAUUUUCUGAACAUGCAUCCUAUGAAGAGCCAUGUAGCUCAAUUAUGCUUGUGCAGAAACCCUGAUUACCUCACCUUUCCCACCUGCCAAUCACCUUUACCCAUACUUCACACCAUCCUGCUUUCUAUCCCGCUAAUUACCCCUAAGCCCUGUUUUCAGGGAGGUGGAUUUGCGAUUUGUUCUCCUUCUCCUUGCUCAGCAGCCUGGUAAGCAAUCUCACAAAAUAAAAUCUUUUCUUUUUUGCAAAACCCACAGUCCCAAUGAUUGGUUUGCUGUCCAUGAGCAAAAUGAAGCUGGUUUGAUAUCAGAUGUCACAUAUAAAAAUUGGGGGUGGAGUAG
Molecule: long non-coding RNA, 1605 nt
Filed under: Homo sapiens (human)
Lineage: Eukaryota; Metazoa; Chordata; Mammalia; Primates; Hominidae
Description: HSALNT0300710
Source: RNAcentral